Molecule: ribosomal RNA, 459 nt
Filed under: uncultured bacterium
Lineage: Bacteria
Description: partial 16S ribosomal RNA
Rfam family: Bacterial small subunit ribosomal RNA
Source: RNAcentral
CCUACGGGGUGCAGCAGUGAGGAAUAUUGGUCAAUGGGCGCGAGCCUGAACCAGCCAAGUCGCGUGAGGGAAGACGGUCCUAUGGAUUGUAAACCUCUUUUGUCGGGGAGCAAAAGACGCCACGCGUGGCGUUCCGAGAGUACCCGAAGAAAAAGCAUCGGCUAACUCCGUGCCAGCAGCCGCGGUAAUACGGAGGAUGCGAGCGUUAUCCGGAUUUAUUGGGUUUAAAGGGUGCGCAGGCGGAAGAUGAAGUCAGCGGUAAAAUUGAGAGGCUCAACCUCUUCGAGCCGUUGAAACUGGUUGUCUUGAGUGAGCGAGAAGUAUGCGGAAUGCGUGGUGUAGCGGUGAAAUGCAUAGAUAUCACGAAGAACUCCGAUUGCGAAGGCAGCAUACCGGCGCUCAACUGACGCUCAUGCACGAAAGUGUGGGUAUCGAACAGGAUUAGAUACCCCAGUAGUC